Molecule: ribosomal RNA, 433 nt
Filed under: uncultured bacterium
Lineage: Bacteria
Description: partial 16S ribosomal RNA
Rfam family: Bacterial small subunit ribosomal RNA
Source: RNAcentral
AACGAACGCUGGCGGCAUGCCUAACACAUGCAAGUCGAACGAAGGCUUCGGCCUUAGUGGCGCACGGGUGCGUAACGCGUGGGAAUCUGCCCUUUGGUUCGGAAUAACAGCUGGAAACGGCUGCUAAUACCGGAUGAUGACGAAAGUCCAAAGAUUUAUCGCCAGAGGAUGAGCCCGCGUUGGAUUAGGUAGUUGGUGGGGUAAAGGCCUACCAAGCCGACGAUCCAUAGCUGGUCUGAGAGGAUGAUCAGCCACACUGGGACUGAGACACGGCCCAGACUCCUACGGGGGGCAGCAGUGGGGAAUAUUGGACAAUGGGCGCAAGCCUGAUACAGCAAUGCCGCGUGAGUGAUGAAGGCCCUAGGGUUGUAAAGCUCUUUUACCCGGGAAGAUAAUGACUGUACCGGGAGAAUAAGCCCCGGCUAACUCCGUG